RNAcentral lists this small RNA (28 nucleotides) under Bombyx mori (domestic silkworm). RNAcentral's name for it is "ovarian small RNA-19329". The record is from RNAcentral. Lineage: Eukaryota; Metazoa; Arthropoda; Insecta; Lepidoptera; Bombycidae.
UAAGGUCCUGAUCUCACUUCUGAUGUAA